Long non-coding RNA from Pseudophryne corroboree (corroboree frog), 1657 nucleotides. RefSeq lists it as uncharacterized. The record is from RefSeq and is a predicted model, not a curated record. NCBI's taxonomy places the organism in Eukaryota, Metazoa, Chordata, Amphibia, Anura, Myobatrachidae. The transcript is spliced from 3 exons.
AUGAUGCUAACCUAAAUAAUAUUCCUACACAACCAGGCAUCUUCUGGACAAUGGGAUCUCCUACAUGAUUAUUGAAUACCGACUGAAGACGCCGUCUGCCUUAGAUGAUAUAUUUCUUCAGAGGUUCCACAUUGUGAGAAACCAUCAUAUAGGCAUCUUCUGGACGGUGUGAUCUCCUACAUGAAUAGUGAAUACCGACUGAAGACGCCGUCUGCCUUAGAGGAUACAGUUCUUUAGAGGUUCCAUAUGAGAAACCAUCAUACAGGUUGAAUUCAAAAGAAUCCUUGUUUCAAGUUCGAAGGAGACACGAAGGACCAACUCAUUUCCUAAAACCUCUGCUGUCACAUUGGUCUAUUGUUUUUCGGUUAAAAAAACUCAAGUGACCAGGUUCUGGGAUAUAAUGUGUUAAAUAUGGGAUACAUAUGAUAUCCUGACAGCACCAUCCCAUCUGCUGGAAUCCCAACAGUGAGUUCCUCACAGGCUCACUUCACUCGCCACACAUCGGGCCCGGUGGUUCGCUACUCUCGCCACAGGUUCUAUUUCCACUCGGUGGUAUGGACUGUCAAAGUCGGAAAAAUAUCAUGCUACACGUUGCCAUAUAUUCACCCCAUGCGCUUGCCCGCUGCACAUGCACAUUCUCUCCCGUGCGUGUGCAUAUUCGAAGUUGCGUGCCGGCGCCUCCACGGCCGUGCGCUCAGGCGCGUGGUAUGUGCAUUUACGGUAGAGUUUGCGUGCGUCUAGCGGGCGACUCAAUCGUUACAUAGUAAAUCCAAAUAGUAUGUUUUAUAGAUAAUGUUCCCCUUAAUAAUAACUGUAAGUUUGUUUAUCGUAACUGGUCCCUGGACAGAGGAAUUCCUCUUUGCAUGAUACAAAGGGUCAGAUAGGGUCUGAGCGGUGGUUUCUGGUACCUAAUUAAAGAACAUUUUAUUAGGAACAAUCCGGUGCUGGUUAGGUAAAGAUUAAUCGCUCCUGCGUAUAGUUAUGUCUAUUAGUAGUUUCUGGACAUUUACUAUAUUUGCGGUUCAUUAUCAAUGCGGCGGGAAUCCUGAGAUUCCCUCCCACCUGAGCAGUUUGAUAUAGUCACAGCCCACCUGUUCAAACCAACCUAUGUGCUUUGGUUAUAAUGCGGGGAGACAUUCCUGUGUCCAAUGAACAAUGAGAUUAUAGGUCCCUUUGUAGUGUACUGUAAGCAGUGUAUAUAAGAUCAGCCAGCCUGGCCCAGCUCAGUCUUCUCUGCACAACGGUUUUCAUCAUUGACUAACCCAGAGCUGGAAACCAGGACUGCGCAACAAAUCAUUCCCCAGUGUGUAAGUACUCUCUGUGACCAUUCUUAAUCUCUGACUGUCAUUUUGCCACGUUCUCUCUCUCUCUCUCAUUAGGGUAUAUUUACUAACAUUCGUAAUUUUCGGAAAAAGGUCAAAGUUCAAUCACGAAUUACAUCGAAAGUGUAAACUUGCAACUUUUUGAAUUGAUUACGACUAAUUUACUAAGCUGUCGUAUUCUGCAUUUUCAUUUGUUCCGAUGUCGAUGUCAUUCGUGUUUUUUUUACAUUUUUUUACGGCAGUGAUUAGCAAAACACUGCCGACUUUUUAAAAAUGAAUAUCGGCCGGAUCUGUGUGAUCCGUGCUGAGGUUCAUUUUUUUUUUUAAUUUUAAAC